Molecule: ribosomal RNA, 493 nt
Filed under: uncultured bacterium
Lineage: Bacteria
Description: bacterial SSU rRNA
Rfam family: Bacterial small subunit ribosomal RNA
Source: RNAcentral
AGAGUUUGAUCAUGGCUCAGAACGAACGCUGGCGGCGUGCUUAACACAUGCAAGUCGAACGAGAAAUUCAGCCUUCGGGCAGAAGAGUAAAGUGGCGCACGGGUGAGUAACGCGUAGGUAAUCUAUCCUUAUAUUCGGGAUAACUCUUCGAAAGGGGUGCUAAUACCGGAUACACUUUAUUACUGUAGGGAAAUAAAGGAAAGGUGGCCUCUGAAAUAAGCUACUGUAUAGGGAGGAGCCUGCGUACCAUUAGCUGGUUGGUGGGGUAAUGGCCUACCAAGGCAACGAUGGUUAGCGGGUCUGAGAGGAUGAUCCGUCACACUGGCACUGGAACACGGGCCAGACUCCUACGGGAGGCAGCAGUGAGGAAUAUUGCGCAAUGGGGGCAACCCUGACGCAGCGACGCCGCGUGAGUGAGGAAGGCUUUCGAGUCGUAAAGCUCUGUCAGAAGGGAAGAAGUGCAUUAUGGUUAAUACCCAUAGUGUUGACGGUA